Molecule: ribosomal RNA, 741 nt
Filed under: Pseudoclavibacter sp. MJ626
Lineage: Bacteria; Bacillati; Actinomycetota; Actinomycetes; Micrococcales; Microbacteriaceae
Description: bacterial SSU rRNA
Rfam family: Bacterial small subunit ribosomal RNA
Source: RNAcentral
CAGCUUGCUGGGUGGAUUAGUGGCGAACGGGUGAGUAACACGUUGAGCAACGUGCCCAUAACUCUGGGAUAACCUCCGGAAACGGUGGCUAAUACUGGAUAUCUAACGCGAUCGCAUGGUCUGUGUUUGGAAAGAUUUUUUGGUUAUGGAUCGGCUCACGGCCUAUCAGCUUGUUGGUGAGGUAAUGGCUCACCAAGGCGACGACGGGUAGCCGGCCUGAGAGGGUGACCGGCCACACUGGGACUGAGACACGGCCCAGACUCCUACGGGAGGCAGCAGUGGGGAAUAUUGCACAAUGGGCGAAAGCCUGAUGCAGCAACGCCGCGUGAGGGAUGACGGCCUUCGGGUUGUAAACCUCUUUUAGUAGGGAAGAAGCGAAAGUGACGGUACCUGCAGAAAAAGCACCGGCUAACUACGUGCCAGCAGCCGCGGUAAUACGUAGGGUGCAAGCGUUGUCCGGAAUUAUUGGGCGUAAAGAGCUCGUAGGCGGUUUGUCGCGUCUGCUGUGAAAUCCCGAGGCUCAACCUCGGGUCUGCAGUGGGUACGGGCAGACUAGAGUGUGGUAGGGGAGAUUGGAAUUCCUGGUGUAGCGGUGGAAUGCGCAGAUAUCAGGAGGAACACCGAUGGCGAAGGCAGAUCUCUGGGCCAUUACUGACGCUGAGGAGCGAAAGCAUGGGGAGCGAACAGGAUUAGAUACCCUGGUAGUCCAUGCCGUAAACGUUGGGCGCUAGAUGUGGGGGA